Molecule: long non-coding RNA, 1145 nt
Organism: Neodiprion fabricii
Lineage: Eukaryota; Metazoa; Arthropoda; Insecta; Hymenoptera; Diprionidae
Exons: 3
Source: RefSeq, a predicted model, not a curated record
GAAAGUAUUACGAACGGAAAAAGAAUCGAUAGAAAAACAAAGGAGUGCUAAUCCCUGAGAUGAUCCUUGUAUUUAUUCGUCCACCGAGGCGACGCAGAUUAUUUCAACGUUCUAGUUGGGGACAUCCUGAACUCGUGUUGCAUGAACAUGGCAAAUUUUGGGAAACAGCAAUCCCUAACUACACAGGUCAACGAUUUCAGAAAAAAUUGUCGCUUCAAAAGGGCAACAUUUAUGACUUUGUGCAACAUGCUUAGGCCCUACCUGUUAAAACACAACACUGGUAUGAGACAGGCUAUUGUGCUUGAAAAGGGAGUGGCGGUCGCCUUGACGUUUUUGAAGGAAAACUGUAACUUUUGGUCCGUUGCUGAUUUAUAUGGAAUUGGAUAAAGUAUCGUAGGAUGUCUGUGAUAUGAAUUUUGUGAAGCGGUGCUGGCACAUUAUUAUGAUGACGUCGUCAAGUUUCCCGAUACUGAAGUGGAAAGAUUUGCUAUAAGCAGAGGUUUCAUGAACAGAUGGCAAUUCUCUAAUUGUUUUGGUGCGAUGAACGGAACUCAUAUUCCUAUAUCAGUUCCUGCAGACCAUCCCGAGGAUUAUUAUAAUUAUAAAUCAUUUCAUUCAAUCGUCGCGUUACGCGUUGUUGAUUACAAGUAUCGGUUCACGUAUAUAAACAUUGGCGCCCCUGGACGUUGCAACAAUGCAUCAAUUUUCCAUAGAAGUGCAUUAUUCAAACAGUUCUCUGUAAAUAAUGAGACUCUUGAUGGAUAAACAACUAAUCUGCACAUAUUAUCUGAUGCAGCUUUUCCUUUGUUAACAUGGCUGUUGAAACUUUAUCCCAUAACCGACGAAAUGUCGCUCGUGAAUCGAUAUUUCAAGUAUGGGUCGAGUAGCGCAAGGAUGACAGUGGAGAAUGCCUUCGGUCUGCUAGAAGGCCGUGAGAGAAGACUAUUAAAACGAGCAAAUUUGAACCUCAAAAAUAUGAAACGAGUUGCAAAGGUUUGCUUUAUUUUACAUAAUAUUUGUGAAAGUCAUAAUGAGCUUUUUCACCUUGAAUGGCUUGAAAAGGUAAAAGCCAAAAAAAAUAGUAUGGCAAACGUACCUACUAUAACAGUUCCUGAUAAUAGAGCUUCUACGGUAGCUGAAAUAAA